RNAcentral lists this ribosomal RNA (460 nucleotides) under uncultured bacterium. RNAcentral's name for it is "partial 16S ribosomal RNA". It matches the Rfam family "Bacterial small subunit ribosomal RNA", at positions 338 to 795 of the family's 1533-position model. The record is from RNAcentral.
CCUACGGGGGGCUGCAGUGAGGAAUAUUGGUCAAUGGACGAGAGUCUGAACCAGCCAAGUAGCGUGAAGGAUGACUGCCCUAUGGGUUGUAAACUUCUUUUAUAUGGGAAUAAAACGUUCCACGUGUGGGAUUUUGUAUGUACCCUAUGAAUAAGGAUCGGCUAACUCCGUGCCAGCAGCCGCGGUAAUACGGAGGAUCCGAGCGUUAUCCGGAUUUAUUGGGUUUAAAGGGAGCGUAGGUGGAUUGUUAAGUCAGUUGUGAAAGUUUGCGGCUCAACCGUAAAAUUGCAGUUGAAACUGGCAGUCUUGAGUACAGUAGAGGUGGGCGGAAUUCGUGGUGUAGCGGUGAAAUGCUUAGAUAUCACGAAGAACUCCGAUUGCGAAGGCAGUUCACUGGACUGCAACUGACACUGAGGCUCGAAAGUGUGGGUAUCAAACAGGAUUAGAUACCCUAGUAGUC